RNAcentral lists this ribosomal RNA (253 nucleotides) under uncultured bacterium. Its description in RNAcentral is "partial 16S ribosomal RNA". It matches the Rfam family "Bacterial small subunit ribosomal RNA", at positions 524 to 776 of the family's 1533-position model. The record is from RNAcentral.
UACGUAGGCAGCAAGCGUUGUUCGGAGUUACUGGGCGUAAAGGGUGUGUAGGCGGUCCUCUAAGUUUGGUGUGAAAUCUCCCGGCUCAACUGGGAGGGUGCGCCGAAAACUGGAGGGCUAGAGUACUGGAUGGGAGAGUGGAAUUCCUGGUGUAGCGGUGAAAUGCGCAGAUAUCAGGAGGAACACCGGUGGCGAAGGCGGGUCUCUGGGCCGUUACUGACGCUGAGGAGCGAAAGCGUGGGGAGCGAACAGG